This 477-nucleotide ribosomal RNA is filed under the name uncultured bacterium. RNAcentral describes it as "bacterial SSU rRNA". It matches the Rfam family "Bacterial small subunit ribosomal RNA", at positions 24 to 518 of the family's 1533-position model. The record is from RNAcentral.
UCAGGAUGAACGCUGGCGGCGUGCCUAACACAUGCAAGUCGAACGGAGAGUCAUUCUUCGGAAGGAUUCUAGUGGCGGACGGGUGAGUAACGCGUGGGUAACCUGCCUUACACAGGGGGACAACAGUUGGAAACGACUGCUAAUACCGCAUAAGCCCACGGAACCGCAUGGUUCUGUGAGAGAAGAUUUAUCAGUGUAAGAUGGGCCCGCGUCUGAUUAGUUAGUUGGCGGGGUAACGGCCCACCAAGAUGACGAUCAGUAGCCGACCUGAGAGGGUGAUCGGCCACAUUGGGACUGAGACACGGCCCAAACUCCUACGGGAGGCAGCAGUGGGGAAUAUUGCGCAAUGGGGGGAACCCUGACGCCAGCAACGCCGCGUGAGUGAAGAAGUAUUUCGGUAUGUAAAGCUCUAUCAGCAGGGAAGAAGAUGACGGUACCUGCAGAAGAAGUCCCGGCUAACUACGUGCCAGCCGCCGC